GCAUUAAUGGGGUAGUGGUAACCUGGGUCGUUGCCACUUGCGGCAGUGUCGACCCGCCGGGGGUUCGAUUCCCUCUUAAUGCA
This is a non-coding RNA of Lentinula boryana, 83 nucleotides long. The record is from the annotation of a GenBank genome assembly. NCBI's taxonomy places the organism in Eukaryota, Fungi, Basidiomycota, Agaricomycetes, Agaricales, Omphalotaceae.